RNAcentral lists this ribosomal RNA (253 nucleotides) under uncultured bacterium. RNAcentral describes it as "partial 16S ribosomal RNA". It matches the Rfam family "Bacterial small subunit ribosomal RNA", at positions 524 to 776 of the family's 1533-position model. The record is from RNAcentral.
UACGUAGGGGGCAAGCGUUGUCCGGAAUCAUUGGGCGUAAAGAGCGCGUAGGCGGUCCGGUAAGUCCGCUGUGAAAGUCAAGGGCUCAACCCUUGAAUGCCGGUGGAUACUGUCGGGCUAGAGUCCGGAAGAGGCGAGUGGAAUUCCUGGUGUAGCGGUGAAAUGCGCAGAUAUCAGGAGGAACACCAAUGGCGAAGGCAGCUCGCUGGGACGGUACUGACGCUGAGGCGCGAAGGCGUGGGGAGCGAACGGG